GAUGAACGCUGGCGGCGUGCCUAAUACAUGCAAGUCGAGCGAACAGACGAGGAGCUUGCUCCUCUGACGUUAGCGGCGGACGGGUGAGUAACACGUGGAUAACCUACCUAUAAGACUGGGAUAACUUCGGGAAACCGGAGCUAAUACCGGAUAAUAUAUUGAACCGCAUGGUUCAAUAGUGAAAGACGGUUUUGCUGUCACUUAUAGAUGGAUCCGCGCCGCAUUAGCUAGUUGGUAAGGUAACGGCUUACCAAGGCAACGAUGCGUAGCCGACCUGAGAGGGUGAUCGGCCACACUGGAACUGAGACACGGUCCAGACUCCUACGGGAGGCAGCAGUAGGGAAUCUUCCGCAAUGGGCGAAAGCCUGACGGAGCAACGCCGCGUGAGUGAUGAAGGUCUUCGGAUCGUAAAACUCUGUUAUUAGGGAAGAACAAAUGUGUAAGCAACUAUGCUCGUCUUGACGGUACCUAAUCAGAAAGCCACGGCUAACUACGUG
Molecule: ribosomal RNA, 497 nt
Filed under: uncultured bacterium
Lineage: Bacteria
Description: partial 16S ribosomal RNA
Rfam family: Bacterial small subunit ribosomal RNA
Source: RNAcentral